Xyrauchen texanus (razorback sucker) is the source of this 7301-nucleotide RNA transcript. It is a transcript of the gene named NACHT, LRR and PYD domains-containing protein 3-like, with no coding region annotated. The transcript has 11 exons. NCBI's taxonomy places the organism in Eukaryota, Metazoa, Chordata, Actinopteri, Cypriniformes, Catostomidae. The record is from RefSeq and is a predicted model, not a curated record.
AGGAUUAAUUCUGUGACAAGAGCAGGAACUUACACUUACAGAAACAGAGAAAAAGUUUGACAGUUUUUGUUCCACUGAAUCGUCUGAAACAAUCAAUAAAUUCAUUGUGAAGUAUUUUGUAGGUGAUAUUCUAGUCAGUAAAGAGGAACAUCAACAGUUCUUGACCGGUGUUCAGAUGAUGUCAUGGACUCCACAAAGGAUCUCAGUGGACAGACAGACACAGGGAAGGUCAAGAGUGUCAUUCAUGGAGAAUCUCCUGAACCCAGCUGUGUGUCCAUGAAGAGUGACGGGUCAAUGAAUCCUCCAAUUUACUUCAGUUCGGGAGAGUCUUUGAUCAACUACAGAAACAAACAGGAUGAAUCAGAGUCAACUGCUGGGAAAGUGCCAUUGGACUCCAUUUUUGAGGAACUUGAGCACAAAAUCAUCUCUCUGAUGAAGAAAGAGCUGAAGAGUUUCAAGAGACUAUUGAUCUCAGAUUCCCCAGCAUGCUCUGAGAGAGAGGAGGAGGAUGAUGACGGUCAGAGCAGAGUCAGAGAGGGGUUUCUGAAGAUCACACUGCACGUCCUGAAGAAGAUGAAGCAGACAGACCUCGCUAACACACUUCAAACCAAACUGAUUUCUGUGCAUCAACAAAAACUCAAAACAAAACUAAAAGAGAAAUUCCAGAGAAUUUCUGAAGGAAUGUCAAAUCAAAGCAGCUCAACACUUGUGAAUGAGAUCUACACAGAGCUGUACAUCACAGAGGGAGGGAGUGCAGAGAUCAAUAAUGAACAUGAGGUGAGACAGAUUGAGACAGCAUCCAGGAGAGCAGAGACACAGGAAACACCAAUCAAAUGCAAUGACAUCUUUAAAGCCUUACCUGGACAAGACAAAGCCAUCAGAACUGUGCUGACUAAAGGAGUUGCUGGCAUUGGGAAAACUGUCUCUGUGCAGAAGUUCAUUGUGGACUGGACUGAAGGAAAAGCAAAUCAGGAUGUUCACUUCAUAUUUCCACUUCCUUUCAGAGAGCUCAAUCUGAUGAAGCACAAACAUAUCAGUUUGAUGGAUCUUCUUCAUCAGUUUUUCACAGAUACAAAAGAACUGAGAGAAUUGAAAAAAUUCCUUGAUGACUACAAAGUCAUUUUCAUUUUUGAUGGUCUGGAUGAGUGUCGACUUCCUCUAGAUUUCCAGAACAAUGAUAUUUUGUGUGAUGUGACAGAAUCGGCCUCAGUGGAUGUGCUGCUGACCAACCUCAUCAAGGGGAAUCUGCUUCCUUCUGCUCUGCUCUGGAUCACCUCUCGACCAGCAGCAGCCAAUCAGAUUCCUCCUGAGUGUGUUGACCAGCUCACAGAUGUACGAGGCUUCAAUGACCUUCAGAAGGACGAGUAUUUCAGGAAGAGAAUAAAAGAUGAGCGUCUGGCCAACAGAAUCAUCACACACAUGAAAUCAUCAAGAAGCCUGUACAUCAUGUGUCACAUACCAGUCUUCUGUUGGAUUUCAGCCACUGUUCUCCAGAGACUGUUGAGUGAAGCAGAGAGUGCAGAGAUCCCCAAGACUCUCACUCAAAUGUUCACACACUUCCUGAUCUUUCAGAGCAAACUGAAGAGCCAGAAGUAUGAUGGGAAAUGUGAGGUGGAUCUUCAGCAGGCUAGAGAGAGGAUUCUGUCUCUGGGAAAACUGGCUUUUCAACAGCUGGAAAAAGGGAACCUGAUAUUCUAUGAGGAGGACCUGAGAGAGUGUGGCAUUGAUGUCAGAGAAGCGUCAGUGUACUCGGGAGUUUGUACCCAAAUCUUCAGAGAGGAGUUUGGACUGCACCUGGGGAAGGUGUUCAGCUUUGUGCAUCUGAGCAUUCAGGAGUUUCUCGCUGCUCUGUAUGCUUUUGUUUCCUUUUCUAAAAAAACAUCAGGUCUCUUCAGUAAGUUUAGGUCAUCUAUGACUGAUUUCCUGAAGAGUGAAGUGGACAAGGCCUUACAGAGUGAGAACGGACACCUGGACCUUUUCCUUCGAUUCCUUCUGGGUCUCUCACUGAAGUCCAAUCAGACAAUCUUACGAGACCUUCUGACACAGACAGGAAGCAGCUCUGACAGCAAACAGGAAAUAGUUGAGUACAUUAAGAUGAAGAUCAGGGAGAAUCCCUCUCCAGAGAAAUCCAUCAAUCUGUUCCACUGUCUGAAUGAACUCAAUGAUCAUUCUCUAGUGCAGGAAGUACAAACAUACGUGAACAGAAGAGAUAUCAAUCGUCUCUCUGGAGUCCGUCUCUCUCCUGCUCAGUGGUCAGCUCUGGUGUUUGUGUUGCUGAACUCAGAAGAGGAGCUGGAUCAGUUUAAUCUGAGGAAAUAUGAUCCAUCACAUGAAUGUCUUCUGAGGCUGCUGCCGGUGAUCAAAGCAUCCAGAAAAGCUGAUUUGAUGGGCUGCGAUCUGAGAGUGCAAAGUUGUUCAGCACUGGCCUCAGUUCUCAGCUCAAACUCCUCAAGUCUGAGAGAGCUGGAUCUGAGUAAUAAUGACCUGCAGGAUUCAGGAGUGAAGCUGCUCUCUGAUGCACUGAAGAGUCCUCACUGUACACUGGAAAUACUGAGAUUUGCAGCUUGUAGAUUCACUGAUCAGUGCUGUGAAAGUUUGUCUUCAGUUCUACAAUCAUCAAAAUCCCUUAGAGAGCUGGAUCUGAGUAACAAUGACCUGCAGGAUUCAGGAGUGAAGCUGCUCUCUGAUGCACUAAAGAGACCUCACUGUACACUGGAAAUACUGAGAUUUUCAGAUUGUAGAUUCACUGGUCAGUGCUGUGAAAGUUUGUCUUCAGUUCUACAAUCAUCAAAAUCCCUGAGAGAGCUGGAUCUCAGUAAUAAUGACCUGCAGGAUUCAGGAGUGAAGCUGCUCUCUGAUGCACUAAAGAGUCCUCACUGUACACUGGAAAUACUGAGAUUAUCUGGCUGUAUGGUGACAGAGGAAGGCUGUUGUUCUGUGGCAUCAGCUCUGAGAUCAAAUCUCUCACGCCUGAAAGAGCUGGAUCUGAGCUACAAUCACCCAGGAGAAUCAGGAGUCAGGCUGCUCUCUGAAAGAAUCAACGAUCCAAACUGCACACUGGACAAACUUAAACGCUUUUAUCCAGACGCUUUUAUCCAUUCCCCCCGGAGCAACCUGGAGUUAAGUGCCUUGAUCCAGGACACAAUGGUGGUGUCUGUGGGGAUAUAACCAGCGACCUUCUGAUUACCAGAUUACCAGUUAUGUGCUUUAGACCACUAGACCACCAAGUAACUCAAACAGCAAAAUUGUCACAAAACAUCACAAUAACAGACAUCAGAGAUGUACAUAUAUUAAACCUGUAAACAUACACAGUCACAAACAUUGUUACUCCUAUCAUUAUGUGGACUCUCCAUAGACACAAUUAUUUUUAUUAUAUAUAUUCUAUCCCCUAAACCUAACCCUCACAGAAACAUUUGGGAUAUUUACAUUUAAAAAAAUAUAUAUAGUAUGUACGUUUGAAUUUUUAAGGACACUAGAGAUGUCCUCAUAAACCACAUUUAUAGCAUAAUACCUUCGUAACUACUAGUGUAUGACCUAAUAAAACCACCAAACAUACAUACACUCACUUACACACAAACACACAGUGUACAGACAGACCGUAUUGAUGAUUUCUGACUAUUUUUAUAACUAUGUAUAAAAGCGGAAGUGAAACAAAUACAGUACAGUAGACAAAACCCAUUUGUUUAUAUGUAUAUACAGUAUUUUUAAAUAUAUUUUUAUAUAUACAUUUUUUAAUAUGACAAAUCAAGAAUUCAGUAUAUUACUCGUCUACACUGUGAAGUGUCACGUGACCUCAUUCUAACAGAUUUUGCAUUCUUUUGAUAUUUUGCGUGUGGACAUAACUCACUCUGGGGGGCAUUCAAGGGAAUUCAGAACCUACUCAUGAAAAGGGAAAAACUAAAUUAUUCAUGGUUUUGAUUUAGGGCAGUCCCCUAAAUACAGAAAAGGUGACAAAGUGCAAAUUUGAUUAAAGGUGCAGUAUUUAAGAUUCAGAAACCCUUGUUAUUAAUGACAGCUGUGGCCGUGAAGUGAACUGCAGCAGCUACCUGUUGCUCGUGAACUCCAUAGGGACACGAGCGAGCAUUUACCAAAACAAUGAUGUAACCUACAAAGAGACUGAACGUGAUUCACCGGCAUCAUGCUGACAGAUGAGGUAGCAUAAUUAAAAUGACACAGUUAUGAUUGUUUUACAAACUUUGAGACUGUAUAUUAUAUUUGACUCUCCAGUGCUGGAACAGGGCUAAAAAAGUGUGGAUAUCGGUCUGACUAUGUGAGACUAUAGUUUGCAUGAUACAUUGACUGCAUUUAUAUGAUGCCGAUGUCGGUGUUAGCUAGCUAGUCAGCUUUAUCAAUAGCUGUUAGCUAAAUUUGGUGGAUGAUGACAGUAGCUGUUUAUAAAAUAGACUGUACAUUAUAAAUAUGUUGACACAAUUCAGUAUUGAUCUGAUUCAUCACAACUGACAUUUUGAUAUAUCGAUGCGCUAUUGUUUUAUAAUAAUAGAUGAUAUAUAUUUUCUGUAUAAUCAAGUUACGUUACACUAAUGAAUGUGUCUUUUUGCAUUAUCUUGAACAUUGUCUAGCAUUCAUUUCAUUGCUAUUGUAGUUUAGCUAAAAUGACACAGAUCAAUCCUUAUGGCUCAAUAUUUAAAUUUUUUGCAGUUAUCUCAUGAAAAUCAGUCUACAGGCUUUAAUAGGCAACCUAGGAAGUCUGUGAAGGGCUCAUUUUAUAAGUUGUGUUACAAGCCGUUCACACAUUGGCAAAAAAAGGUGCUGCUUGCUUGAUAUAACCAAAAUAUUGUUGAAAUGGUUUUGCAGUAUUUGGUUGGGUAAGACUUUCCCUUUUUAUUGGAUGGGGAACACAGUGGACAGUGACAGUGAUUCAGGGAAAAGGUCUUUUAGUCUCUUACUUCAGUUUUCUUGCCUUGACAGUAAAAAUCAAUUCUAUAUCAAAACUGCUAUUCAAAUAAAAGUGACAUGUUCAAAUCUUACGGAUCAUAACAGAAGCAGCAUCACUGGUAAAUGAUGCAAGAGUGUCUGCAGGUCUGCAUUUCUCUGCUGUAAUGAUGUUGAAGAUGGUUUCUGUAAUAGUUGCAGCAUCUCCAGUAGGGAUGUAACGGUUUAACAGUUUCACGAUAUACCCCAGUUUAAUAAUAGAUGAUUUUCACACCAUAGACAUUCUUAUUCACAGUAUUGCAUGAAUAUAAAAUCUGUUUAAAUAUAAAAUCUGAACUUUUCUAAAAUCCAAAUCAGUGUAAUGAUGACAUCAUCAGAUACAUUUGAUAAAUCGUGAUUUGCUCAUUUUACAUUGAAUGCACACUUCAUUUAAAGGCACGGCACGGGCUCAUCUCACCACAAAGACAUGUCGGACCCUGAACAUUUAUUUACACCAUCAAAAGCUUUUUCUUGGUCCAAAUCUAAAAAUCCUACAUUAAGAUUAUUGUCUCUGGCAAAAGAAAUCAGAUCAUGUAUUCAAAACAAAUGAUCAAAUAUUGUGCGUUUAGGAAUACAAUAUGACUGGUCAGCGUGAAUUAAUUUAGAUAUGUAAAUUUUGAAUCUGUUGGUUAAUGCUUUGGACAGUAUCUUAUAGUACAUUUAUUUCACUGCUGAAAUCUGCAGUGUGAGAGUAUUUUGGACAUUUUGGGUUUGGCACCAUUAAUGGUUCUCAGUUAUUCUGUUUGGAAAGUUUGUUGCAUCGUCCCAUGAAAUCUGUGGAGGAUAAUAUAUUUAGAUGCAAACGGAUUGUGUUUAUAUGAAAUGUUACGAUGAGCUUAUUUUCAUUUUAUAUGAUUUAUUAUUUGCUUAAGUGCAGCACAACAGCAAGACUACAAUAUGUUUAAUACUAAUAAUAUGUUUUAUUUGUAAAGUACUAAAUAGGGUUUAUAAAGUGCAUUAGCAUACAGGAAAUGAACAGUGAUACUGUAGCACAUUUGCUUGUGUUGUGCUCUGUCACUGUAUUAAGCUCAUUUAAAAAGUGUUACAAAUAAACACAAUAGCACACAAAUCUGUUUAAAAUGAUGUACACUCACAUUAGAUGAUGACUCCAGUCAGAUACUGACCUCAAUAAAAGCUGUUUAAUUGUACAUUGAGCGGGUCGCCCCUCAUGGAUGCUGCCAUGUUGACCGCACAUAACAAACUGUCUUGCAGUUGAUCAGUUACUACCACUAAUAAUAUCAAUAAUGAUCACAGAUCUGUGAUGGACUGGCGACCUGUCCAGGGUGUCCCCCGCCUUUCGCCCAAUGUUAGCUGGGAUAGGCUCCAGCCCCCCGCGACCCUGUACACAGGAUAAGCGGUUGACGAUGGAUGGAUGGAUGGAUGAUCACAGAUAAACGGUGUGACAUCAAGCACCAAGAGCGAGCACACAACGGUCUCAUCAGCCGCCAGAGAGAUUACGAGUCGCAGCAGUCCAUCUUACAGACAUUUUUGUGUGGCGCAGCAGCAGUUAACAGGGGCGGUGCAGGAUUUUUCACAGGGGGGGUCGGGCAGUGAUCAGUCUGUGGUGUCAGUAUAAAGUCCAAAACCACUGGUACUAUUGGGACGAAUAAGAGCCAGAUAAAAACUUACUGCUGCACUUUUAAAAGCGGCGCUAACACUGAUCUGGAGCCGUUUCAUAACCCAGGAUUAAAAGUGUUGCUAAUCACCUUUCAGAGUUACAAGUGUGAAACGUUACUUUACUGGAGGUUAAAGCGGGGUUAAAAGACAAUAACCCAGGGUUAAGUGCAGUGUGAAAGCACUUGAGUUUAUUGUUGGUGGGAUGUUGUGUGUGUGUAUUGCAGGGGUGUUAAACUCAGUUCCUGGACCCCUCACACCCCUCAUGUGUUGUAAGACUGUCAGUGGAUUGAAAUAUUGAAUCACGAUUAAUCACAUAUUUGUUUUGUUGUUAGUGUUAACACAUUCAGUUCCAGGAAAACUAAAUAACAGUCCUGUGUGUCUUUAUUAGAGUCUUUUCUGAAAGUUUCAACUAGUUGAUCAAAAAUGAGGCUAUAAAACCAUCAAACUUUUACAUGCCAAUAAAGCUAAUAAAUAUAAAUUAAUAAAGAGAGAGAGAGAGAGAGAGAGAGAGAGAGACAUUCUCUGUGUGUUAUUUCAGAUAAAAUCACUUUGAAUUAAGUUUCAGGUGAGCUGAAUGUGAUGUCAUCAUUUGUGUGUGUUUGUGUUUUUAUAGUGUGGAUCAUGGAGGAGAGUUCAGGAUUACAGCAGGACCACGCACAUAUGUCUGUGAUCUCACACUGGAUUCAAACACAGCACACUCUGAACUCAUUUUGUCUGAGGGGAACAGGAAGGUGACACGUGUGAGAAAGCGU